CAAUAUGGCGGCUGUGGCAAAGUUUUCGCCGCCCGUAUGAGAAAUUCGCAUUCAUUCAAGAUUGAAUAGUUCACGAUAAACGCUAAGCGUAAUAAGCCUAUUUAGAUUACGUAGUUAACAUCGCGAGUGAAAAUUCGUUCGUGUCGUAACACGUCGAAACAGCCCGAUGCAGGUCGCGCGUAAUUCUCGUAGCUUAAAUCAUGACUUCGAUGCUAUCCAGCUUUAACCCGCCUAUCGUUAAGCGAUUGUUGGGUUGGAAAAAAGCAGAAGGAGAAGACAAAUGGAGUGAAAAAGCUGUUAAAAGUCUUGUAAAGAAGUUAAAAAAAUCCACCGGCCUCGACGAGCUCGAGAAGGCUAUUACUACGCAAAGUUGCAACACUAAGUGCAUUACUAUACCGAGGCCUAGCCCAGGCGGUGUCGGAGACAACGGUGUCCAAGGAGUGCGCGGCAAAGGUUUGCCGCACGUGAUCUAUUGCCGACUUUGGCGUUGGCCAGAUUUGCAAUCGCACCACGAACUAAGAGCAAUCGAGCAUUGCGAGUACGCGUUUACGCAGAAACGAGACGAAGUCUGCAUUAACCCGUACCACUAUCAACGAAUACAAACACCAGUUUUGCCAGCUAUUCUCGUACCUCGGCAUAAUUUAGCCGGGGACGAGUCCGUCCUUUAUAACACUUCCAUCGAGGAGCUCAGUGUCAGUGUGCCAGAAAACACGAGUUUCCACGCGACUUUAAAUCACCAGCACCAUAAUCAACAAAGUAUACCACAAUCGCCGCAACAGCAACAACAGCAACAACAACAACAGCCACCGAACAAUCCAUAUCAAGGAAUGCAGAGUAUGCAGGCAACAAGUCCGGCUAGUGUUGGUAGUCUAGGAAGUGUUCAGGGUUCACCACAUCCGGCACCUGGAUCUAUGGAUCCACCUGCUGAUACUCCUCCUCCAGGUUAUAUAAGUGAAGAUGGUGAUAACAUGGAUCACAACGAUAAUAUGUCCUUAUCGCGUUUGUCUCCCAGUCCUGUAGAUGCACAACCAGUGAUGUACUGUGAACCAGCAUUUUGGUGUUCAAUAAGUUACUAUGAACUAAAUACGAGAGUAGGCGAGACUUUUCAUGCAUCGCAACCGAGCAUAACGGUGGAUGGAUUCACUGAUCCCAGUAAUUCUGAACGUUUCUGUUUGGGUUUACUAUCGAACGUAAACCGAAAUACCGUAGUCGAACAGACGAGACGACAUAUCGGAAAAGGAGCUAGAUUAUAUUAUAUUGGUGGUGAAGUAUUUGCCGAAUGUUUAUCCGAUUCGAGCAUUUUUGUGCAAAGUCCUAAUUGUAAUCAACGUUAUGGUUGGCAUCCAGCCACUGUUUGUAAAAUACCACCUGGUUGCAAUUUGAAGAUAUUCAACAAUCAAGAAUUUGCGGCAUUGUUAUCGCAAUCGGUUUCACAAGGAUUCGAAGCUGUGUAUCAAUUGACUCGAAUGUGUACGAUCAGAAUGAGUUUUGUAAAAGGUUGGGGAGCGGCAUAUCGUCGGCAAACCGUGACGUCGACUCCUUGUUGGAUCGAGUUGCAUUUAAAUGGUCCAUUACAGUGGCUCGAUAGAGUACUCACGCAGAUGGGAUCGCCGCGUUUACCCUGUUCCUCGAUGUCAUAAGGUUGUAUGCUUUUCUCAUUGAUGGAAAACAGGGACGAUUUGCGUGCUGUCAUUGUCGUCAUCGUCGUUGUGUAAAUUGGUUUUUCUUACCGCGGAUUCAUUGUUUUAUCUGAAUAUUUUCCAACCACCGACUACAGUGAUAAACAGUGCAAGAAAAAAUAUACGAUUACUGUUUUCAUGAAGCGUGUAUGUGUAUCCUACCUUGAAAAGUGUACGGAAUACGAAAUCGUUUUCGCGUUCAAAGUGCCAGGAAAGCAUUCGAUCGGACGAAUGGAAAUAAAACUGGCGAUUGAUUAGCUUAUAGGAAUGUUCAAGUGCUCAAAUCGCGAUGGUUCAUCGAUGUUUCCUAUGAAGAUUAAGGAAAGGACGAUGUGUGGGCAAAAGAGUGCAGACAAGACCGGUUCAAAAUAACAUUCACACAGGUAUCACCUAUACAGAAAACCAUUUUUUCAUUAAACUGGAACAUUAUGAUCAAGAAUACUAAAUAACAAAAUAAGUAGAUAUUGUUGACUCACUUAUCGCACUUUCGAGUGGAUAUAGUGCUACGAUCCAGGGUUACAAAUCCGAUUUUAACCGAAUUAAGAGAGUGAAAAACAAGCGCGAUUCUAUAUGUAUAUACAUAUAUAUAUAUUUGCUUAUAUUUAGAAUCAUAAGUAUAAGUGCAUAUAUAUAUAUAUGUGUGUGUAUAUUACAUUAAAAAAGAAACUCAGUCUUUACAUAUUUUUAUCGCUUGUUAAGCAAUGCACUCCAAUCGUACAGUAUACGUUAAACCUUACAAAAUGAUACAUACUAUGUACAUUUACACAAUUUAUAGUCAACUGAAAAUAAUUUCUAUAGAAUGGGUAAACUUGUAUACCCGUUGAAAAGUUUCUAACUGGUCUAUUCAGAGUCAUUGUCAGUGUUUUUCCUACGAAUAAAACGUUAAAAAAGAAAUACAUCUAUGAAGUCUAUUUCUUUUAUAUAAUAAUGAUAAGGAAAGAUUACAGUGUUCAAUAUGUAUGUAACUAUUUACACGGUUUGUUAACAUUACUACAUCUUCGAAUGGACCAGAAUGUUCAAAUAUUCUCCCAAUGGAUCGCAUCAGGACGGAUAAUUAUGUUUCUACUGUAUUUGGAGGUUUUGAAUGAAUGACUUACCUUUUUUUACAUCGUAAGAUCAAGAGACAUGACAGUGACAACGAUGAUUCGUGAACUUACCAAUUACAAAUUUUUGACGAAUGAAUAAUGUUCCAACUGUAUGUUGCACUACCAAUUCUAGAAGAAUAUCGAAGAGAGGACAAGCUUGGGCAGUAGCUAUGGAAAAAAAUAGUCUAAAAGACGCAAGAUUUCAAAUCAUAUUAUAUUGAUUCUUAGAUAGUGUUUUAUUACAUAGCCUAAUGGCACGAAUAUGUUCGUCUUUUACGAGGAUAUUUUUUAUUUUUAAUCAGCAUACAUCUAAUAUUUAAUUCAUGAGGAAAGAUUGAUAAUAUCGUAAAAAGUUAUUUAAAAUUAAUAUAUUUUCAAAUGCAAAGAACCGAGUAUUAAAUACACUUCGUGAAAGUCGAACACAAUAUCGUCGGGCAGCUCGAGUAAUCGAAUAGUAGUAAGAAAGAGGUGAAAAAGAAAAUAGCUGUUAAUUACAAAGAUAUAAGAUUCAUACCUCUCAGAAUUCAUAGUAAUUGGUACUGUCUCGCAUAAGAAAAAAUUAAAAUUUCUAAUCAUUGAUAUAAUAUUUAACAACCACUUGCCUCUCUGCCAGACUGCCAUUAGCGUAUUAAUUAAGGAAAUAUUUAACUAGGGGAAUCGAAGAACUCGUCCUCAUUUUUCUUCGUUGUCCUCGGAUUCCUACUCGUUCAUUUUAUGUUAGCAUAAGAUCAAAAUAUGUCUAUAAGGUGAAAGAAGAGACAGACCAUUAAGAAACGCGUUUUUAAUUCGCCGCCAAAGUAUAUUAAGUGUAGCAAUUGCCAAAGUUUUUUCUGUAAAUACAAGAAUAUCGAGUCGAUUAGUUUACAGUAGUUGUGAUUCAAUCGUGCACGAAUUAUUAAAUUAUCAGCGCUGUCGUGCUUUCUUUCUUGAAAAUUUAUAAUUGUUAUUAUUGUUAUAAUCGUACUAUAUUGUUAUGUUUUUUCAUUUUGUAUGUUUAAUGUCUUGACCUGCCGAAAAAUCGAGCGGUCCGACGAUUAUGUAUUUUUAAUUCUAUAGCUACUUAUAUAUUUUGUGUGCUAAUAGCUCUGCAUGCACACAAAGGGAAGGAUCGACUAAAGAAUAAUUUCUACAAAACAAAUAUUUUUUUACAUAUUAAGAUGACGUGAAAUUCUUUUACGUACGAUAUAUGUAUUUGACGACAAUUAUAAAUCGGUCGAUGUUUCCCUGGUGUGGAUGAGAUGAUUUUUGAGAAUACGAGUUAAAAGUAAGAAGUUGGAAGAACGAACGUAGGAAUGUAUGAAUGAGAUUGCGUCAAGAAAUAUAGAGUGUGAGACUGUAAAAUAAUUAUAAAUAAAUAUAUACGUUAUAAGUCUAA
RNA transcript from Apis laboriosa (Himalayan honeybee), 4139 nucleotides. It is a transcript of the gene named mothers against decapentaplegic homolog 3, with no coding region annotated. The transcript has 7 exons. The record is from RefSeq and is a predicted model, not a curated record. NCBI's taxonomy places the organism in Eukaryota, Metazoa, Arthropoda, Insecta, Hymenoptera, Apidae.